This is a long non-coding RNA of Peromyscus leucopus (white-footed mouse), 1908 nucleotides long. RefSeq lists it as uncharacterized. Lineage: Eukaryota; Metazoa; Chordata; Mammalia; Rodentia; Cricetidae. The record is from RefSeq and is a predicted model, not a curated record. The transcript is spliced from 5 exons.
ACUCAUAUCAAACAAUACACAUCCACUCAGGACUUUGUCUACUCUUUACACAUUAACUCAAGGCUUCCUAAGCUCUCCCUCCCACACUCAUACACAUAAAGUACAAAUAGAACAUUGUUGUCAUUUUCAGUCAGUUUUUCUGAUAAUGUAUUUUUAUUCUAUCUUACAGGCAGAUUGGAAAGUUAAAGAACCCAGGUCCUUCACCUUUGGUAGUUUUCCAAGUGCUGUCAUAGAAGACGUCAUUGGCAUACCAGGUACUCAGCUCUAUGUGCCCUCUACCCUGUCACAGUUGCCACUUCAACAAUUCUUCCAUCUCAUGACAUUGACCCCCUUUCGACAGGAUAAGGACACUGAGAGUUUUCAGGGUCAGUUAAUUUCUGUGACAAGUCUGUUUUGUUACCACGAUGAGAAGCUGAGGAACAUGAGUGCCUGCAUCUGGUUUGACAUCAGGGUGUCUCCAGACUGAUCCCAUGUGGUUCACCAACACCAAGGUCCUCAAAUCUAACCCAUCCUCCGAACCAGGAGCUCCCCAACACUAGAGAUGUUCAUGAGUACAUGCUCGGUGCCGCCAAGGUGACUGCUUACAGAGGGAUGCUCUUUUGUAUGUGAUGGAAUGGCAGCUCCUUAAAGAAAUGGUAAGACUUACCAAUAUUCUCAGAAAAAACAUAAUUUUGGACGUAUCUGAGAAGUUGCAUGUGAGUCCAAAUCCAGGGAAAGCCACACAGAAAAUCAUGGUGGAGCACACAGUAGAGGGGCUAGCUACUCAUCUCAUGGUGGCUGAGAAGUAUAGGCGAGAGUUCCAGUGAUGCUCCUCGAUGGUUGAGUCAGACCAUUGUCCUCUCACUGGAACCCCCCAGCUGUGUAAACAUCAUAGAAGUUGACUGGUCCAAUUCACAGACAUGAAAAUCUACCCACUGAAUGGUGGAUAUCAGGACAAGAGAGAAUGAAGUGGGGAGUUCCUGAUCAGCAGCUGUGAAGUUUCACCUGCAGAAGGUAAAAGAGCCUUGGAAGUAGAUGAUGAGGGGAGCAUUGAGGAGGUCUGAACAACAGGUAAGCUUCUUGUCGCCAAACCAUAUGCUGAACACAGUUAAAAAGGCAUGUUUCAGCUUAUGUGCAUUUCUCAGAAUUUCAAUAAGUCAAAAUAAUACCAACAACAGAAAGAGACUACGAGGAAGUGAAAUGGGCUGGGUGUGAGGGUCUCGUCAGGAGGCUGAGACACAAAGAUUGUUAUGAAUUCCAGGCUAUGGAGUUGAGACCCUGCCUCAAAAAUACUUACUAUAUGCCUACUCCUGGAUAUUUACUCUCAAAUAUUCCAAGUCAGCAAUCUCACAGAGAAGUUAAGGGACACACCUAGGUGUCCAGCAACAGGGGACUGGAGGAAGAAAAUGUGGUUUAUAGACACUAGGGAAGUGUUUCAGCAGUAAAGGAAAGUGAAGUUAUGUCAUUUGCAAGAAAAUGGGCACGACUAGAGAGAAUCACAUUAAGCAAAUGAAGUCAGGUUCAGAAAGGCAAAUGUUACAUCCUUUCUCUCACUUGUGGGUCCUGUACUUUAUAGAUACAGAAAUCACUUAUCUACAGAGGACAUGAAAGCAGAAUUAAAGCUGUCUAGUAAAACAAAGGGGACUCAUGAAAAGGGGGAGUGGUGAGAACUGAAGAGUAAUGAGCUAUGGAGGAGGGGGCAUGUCUUAGUUAAGGUUUCUAUUGAUGUGAUCAAACACAUGACCACAAAGUGAGUUGGGCAGGAAAGGGUUUAUUAGGCUUACACUUCAGCAUUGCUGUUUAUCAUUGAAGGAAGUCAGGACGGGAACUCAAACAGGGCACAAUCCCAGAGACAUGGCCUCUGAUGCAGAGGCCAUGGAGGGGUGCUGCUUACUGGCUUGCUUCCCAUGGCUUGCUCAACCCACCUUC